GCCUGCUUUAAACACUCUAAUUUUUUCAAAGUAUCAGUCCUGAUUCCCCAAGACACCAAAUUAAUGACAUCAAGGUUCGACAGAAGGGAGAAACCGAAAAUACCAGUACGUACCGAGGCACGACGGAUAUAUCGGUCCCGAAAUUCAACUACGAGCUUUUUAACUGCAGCAACUUUAAUAUACGCUAUUGGAGCUGGAAUUACCGCGGCUGCUGGCACCAGACUUGCCCUCCAAA
This 235-nucleotide ribosomal RNA is filed under the name uncultured Glomus. RNAcentral describes it as "partial 18S ribosomal RNA". The record is from RNAcentral. Lineage: Eukaryota; Fungi; Glomeromycota; Glomeromycetes; Glomerales; Glomeraceae.